UCACAUCCGAGUCUCAACCAAGCUAAAAGACCGCGGGGUGACCGAGAGGAGACGACCAGGAGCUAAGUCGAGGUCGAAUUGCUUGCACCGAAGGUAAAAUCAUUCUGUUUUCGUGUUUUGGUGGUGGUUUAAGCUGUAGUGGAGUGGGACAGUGUCGAGCUGGCCGUGCGGGCGCGGUCGAGCCACCCACCCACGUAGGAACUGAGGAAGCUUCAUUGGGAAUAGGGAAACCCACACACCGGGGAAGCCGAAGGGUCUUCAGUGGGAAUGGAGGCCGGAAUCGCUUUUUGGGAUCCCAAUUCGCUGUUCGAGAAGCUGAAAAGUCUUUCUCAAAAACAAAAAUUCGAUUCACUGAACGAAGAGCCGAAAAGUUUUUC
This 377-nucleotide long non-coding RNA is filed under the name Carica papaya (papaya). RNAcentral describes it as "long non-coding RNA (CPAP_LNC010354)". The record is from RNAcentral. Lineage: Eukaryota; Viridiplantae; Streptophyta; Magnoliopsida; Brassicales; Caricaceae.